Molecule: ribosomal RNA, 491 nt
Filed under: uncultured bacterium
Lineage: Bacteria
Description: partial 16S ribosomal RNA
Rfam family: Bacterial small subunit ribosomal RNA
Source: RNAcentral
AGUGAACGCUGGCGGUAGGCCUAACACAUGCAAGUCGAACGGCAGCACAGUAAGAGCUUGCUCUUACGGGUGGCGAGUGGCGGACGGGUGAGGAAUACAUCGGAAUCUACUUUUUCGUGGGGGAUAACGUAGGGAAACUUACGCUAAUACCGCAUACGACCUACGGGUGAAAGCAGGGGAUCUUCGGACCUUGCGCGAUUGAAUGAGCCGAUGUCGGAUUAGCUAGUUGGCGGGGUAAAGGCCCACCAAGGCGACGAUCCGUAGCUAGUCUGAGAGGAUGAUCAGCCACACUGGAACUGAGACACGGUCCAGACUCCUACGGGAGGCAGCAGUGGGGAAUAUUGGACAAUGGGCGGAAGCCUGAUCCAGCCAUACCGCGUGGGUGAAGAAGGCCUUCGGGUUGUAAAGCCCUUUUGUUGGGAAAGAAAAGCAGCAGGUUAAUACCCCGCUGUUCUGACGGUACCCAAAGAAUAAGCACCGGCUAACUUCGU